This 344-nucleotide long non-coding RNA is filed under the name Physcomitrium patens. RNAcentral describes it as "long non-coding RNA (PPAT_LNC009549)". Lineage: Eukaryota; Viridiplantae; Streptophyta; Bryopsida; Funariales; Funariaceae. The record is from RNAcentral.
UUAAUUUUUAUAUAAUAUAAAUAAUUACAAUAAAAUAUUCAUCUUCCCUCAAACUUGAACAUCUUUUGAUAUAUGCUACGUGCUACUCCUCUUCAUCAUCUUCAGAUUUCUUUGAAUCACUCAUAGAUUCUUCUACUUCAUAUUCUUAGUCUAAAUAUUGAAAUAGGAAUUCUUCAAGGUCUUCUAUUUUGAACUAUUAAGAAAACAAGUACUUAGAAGACACAACACUUAGCAUCAGCAAGGUUGCACACAAAGAGAGUAUGGAGUAAAAUAUCUCUCACUUCCAACACCCAUUACUUAUAAGUGGUAGUUGCUACCCUAAAAGACAAUGUCCACUCUUUGAC